This 256-nucleotide ribosomal RNA is filed under the name uncultured bacterium. Its description in RNAcentral is "partial 16S ribosomal RNA". It matches the Rfam family "Bacterial small subunit ribosomal RNA", at positions 15 to 262 of the family's 1533-position model. The record is from RNAcentral.
GAUCCUGGCUCAGGAUGAACGCUAGCGGCAGGCUUAACACAUGCAAGUCGAGGGGCAGCAUAAUGGUAGCAAUACUAUUGAUGGCGACCGGCGGACGGGUGCGUAACGCGUAUGCAACCUACCCUUUACAGGGGGGAUAACACUGAGAAAUCGGUACUAAUACCCCAUAAUAUUCUGGGAGGCAUCUUUCGGGGUUGAAAGCUUUAGGUGGUAAAGGAUGGGGCAUGCGUUGUAUUAGCUAGUUGGUAAGGUACGG